CGGGGUGCACCAGGCGCGAAAACUUUACACUGCGGGAAACCGCGAUAAGGGGACCCCGAGUGCCAGCACCUAGUGCUGGCUGUCCAGCUGUCCAAAUAACAGUUGUUAGCAAGGGCCGGGCAAGACCGGUGCCAGCCGCCGCCGGUAACACCGGCGGCCCGAGUGGUAGCCGUUAUUAUUGGGUUUAAAGGGUCCGUAGCCGGCCUAUUAAGUCUCUUGGGAAAUCUGGCGACUCAAUCGUCAGUCGUCCAAGAGAUACUGGUAGGCUUGGGACCGGGAGAGGUGGGAGGUACUCCAGGGGUAGGGGUGAAAUCUCGUAAUCCUUGGGGGACCACCGAUGGCGAAGGCAUCCCACCAGAACGGGUCCGACGGUGAGGGACGAAAGCUGGGGGCACGAACCGGAUUAGAUACCCGGGUAGUCCCAGCUGUAAACGAUGCUCGCUAGGUGUCAGGUGCGGUGCGACCGCAUCUGGUGCCGCAGUGAAAACUUGAAGCGAGUCACCUGGGAAGUACGGUCGCAAGGCUGAAACUUAAAGGAAUUGGCGGGGGAGCAC
This 554-nucleotide ribosomal RNA is filed under the name uncultured archaeon. RNAcentral describes it as "bacterial SSU rRNA". It matches the Rfam family "Archaeal small subunit ribosomal RNA", at positions 326 to 879 of the family's 1478-position model. The record is from RNAcentral.